UCAAUUUUUGCAGCCCCUUUGUUUCGCACGACACUUCCCCCUUUUUCCUUGCUUUAAUUCUCCUUUACUGCCAACUUUCCAUUUCCAUCAUAUUUAAAUGCCUCAAUCUCCUCCCGUAAAAUCUCACCAGAUUCGUCCAAUCUUGGCUCCUCAAGAUCCAUCAAGGCAUCAAAAUGAGAGCCUGCAUCCAAGGGCCAAAACAAUUUUGGUCAGCUGCCAAUUUCUCACCCAACGACGGAGUCAACUGGGAAUCACUCACAGUAUGCUGUUCUUCCACCCUAUCCUCUACUAUUGACGAGCAUUCAUCUUACCCGUGGCCAUAGCAUCUACACUUGUAGCAAAUCGAAGGAAGCCUCUCAUACUCAACACAAAAUGAGGUACCAUCAAUUCCACAAAUACUUUCAAUGGUUUCAUCAAAUCCACCACCACGGCAAACCUCGCAAAUUUCCCUCGUUUCCCAACUGUUGUAUUAUAAUUAACCUUCACCACUUUCCCUAGUGUCCCUACUAUGAGACGCAACAACUUCUUAUUGUAGAACUUGUAACACGACGAUUUUUGAAGGGUGUUUCUCCUUCGUAAAGAAGUCACGGCUCCAAGGCUAAACCGUAAGAUAGUUACCAUAGACUACCCAAGGUCCCUUUGUUAGAGCUUUGGUGUAAUCUUGAUACACAACAAACUUCACAAGGUAGUAGUCACUAUCGAUAUCAAUAACUUGGGACGAACCCAUAGGCUUCCAAAGAAUUUGAAUUAUGUUAAAUAGUGCUUUAUAACCGAUCGACUCCAUGUUCCUAUCCAGUAUUUCCUGUACUCGAUCGGAGAACAUCUCUGGAUAAUGGCCAUCCAAAGAGACUUUGACAUCCCCUUCCAAAAUCUCAUAACCGUCAUUCUCUAACCCUUCAUCUACACCAAUGCCCCCAACAUUCGCCAUUAGCUUCUAUUUGAAUGGCACUUUCCCAGUGUCCUCCACAGACAACUCUUUUGGAGGGAACUCCUUCCAAUUCUUGUUUCGCACUUUCUUGGUUGCCCGUUCAAUCCCUGACGGGAUCGGCGAGCUAGGACGUUCAAGGGUCAAUGAAAUUGCAGCAGCUGAAUUCACCGUUGACAUGUGGAAAUUUUUUUUUGAUUAAUUAAUCUUAUUACUAAUACUAUGCUCAGCUUUCCUUUGGGUGCUUUUGCUAUUAUUUCUGCCCUA
Gossypium arboreum is the source of this 1192-nucleotide long non-coding RNA. RefSeq lists it as uncharacterized. The record is from RefSeq and is a predicted model, not a curated record. NCBI's taxonomy places the organism in Eukaryota, Viridiplantae, Streptophyta, Magnoliopsida, Malvales, Malvaceae. The transcript is spliced from 2 exons.